This 253-nucleotide ribosomal RNA is filed under the name uncultured bacterium. RNAcentral describes it as "partial 16S ribosomal RNA". It matches the Rfam family "Bacterial small subunit ribosomal RNA", at positions 524 to 776 of the family's 1533-position model. The record is from RNAcentral.
UACAGAGGGUGCAAGCGUUAAUCGGAAUUACUGGGCGUAAAGCGCACGUAGGCGGAUUUGUAAGUCAGGGGUGAAAUCCCGGGGCUCAACCUCGGAACUGCCUUUGAUACUGCAAAUCUCGAGUCCGAUAGAGGUGGGUGGAAUUCCUAGUGUAGAGGUGAAAUUCGUAGAUAUUAGGAAGAACACCGGUGGCGAAGGCGGCCCACUGGAUCGGUACUGACGCUGAGGUGCGAAAGCGUGGGGAGCAAACAGG